This 478-nucleotide unclassified non-coding RNA is filed under the name Hevea brasiliensis (rubber tree). Lineage: Eukaryota; Viridiplantae; Streptophyta; Magnoliopsida; Malpighiales; Euphorbiaceae. The record is from RNAcentral.
GGAAGCUAUUACCAUAAUUUAAACUGUCCAAGACUAAAAUAAAUUAACAAAUUAAUUAAUACAAAAUACAAAAUCAUUUUUAUUAGAUAAUAAAAUAAAAAGACUUGACAGUAAUUUAUCCAGAUUUAGAAGAAAAAAAUAUUUAAAUCCAAAUUUGCUACGCUUAUAGAGUACUUAAAAAGAAUAAAAAAAGUAACAUUUUAAUGUUUCCGAUUCUUAAUUUCCUUUCCUGUCCUGCAAAUUUACAACCUACCACUAUGGACAACGAAUUUUCAACGAAACGUCUCGUUAACCGUCAAAACUCCGGAUACCACGAAACGUUUCUAUACUAGUUAUUUUUUUCCAUUUUUUUAAUACCAUUUUUUUCUACAAGGCAGAAAGCGACUCGGCCUGCCACUGCACACCCGCUGUAUCACCGGCAGAUGAAUAGUUCUCGUCCGAGUGGUUAAACAAUCCACCUAACGCCACAAAAUCUCCG